Molecule: long non-coding RNA, 512 nt
Filed under: Nicotiana tabacum (common tobacco)
Lineage: Eukaryota; Viridiplantae; Streptophyta; Magnoliopsida; Solanales; Solanaceae
Description: long non-coding RNA (NTAB_LNC011032)
Source: RNAcentral
CAAUUUAGGGUUUUAAAACCCUAAUGCUGGCUGAAUGGAAAAAGUUCAGUUUAGGGUUUAAAACCCUAAUGCUGACUAAAGGAAAAUUCAGUUUAGGGUUUAAAACCCUAAUGCUGAUUAAAGGAAAAAUUCAGUUUAGGGUUUAAAACCCUAAUGCUGGCUGAAUGAAAAAAGUUCAGUUUAGGGUUUAAAACCCUAAUGCUGACUAAAAGGAAAAUUCAGUUUAGGGUUUAAAACCCUAAUGCUGAUUGCAUGGAAAAGCUCAGUUUAGGGUUUAAAACCCUAAUGCUGGCUGAAUGAAAAAAAGUUCAGUUUAGGGUUUAAAACCCUAAUGCUGACUAAAAGGAAAAUUCAGUUUAGGGUUUAAAACCCUAAUGCUGAUUGCAUGGAAAAGCUCAGUUUAGGGUUUAAAACCCUAAUGCUGGCUGAAUAGAAAAAGUUCAGUUUAGGGUUUAAAACCCUAAUGCUGACUAAAAGGAAAAUUCAGUUUAGGGUUUAAAACCCUAAUGCUG